RNAcentral lists this ribosomal RNA (253 nucleotides) under uncultured bacterium. RNAcentral's name for it is "partial 16S ribosomal RNA". It matches the Rfam family "Bacterial small subunit ribosomal RNA", at positions 524 to 776 of the family's 1533-position model. The record is from RNAcentral.
UACGUAGGGGGCAAGCGUUGUUCGGAAUUACUGGGCGUAAAGCGUGCGCAGGCGGUUUUCCAAGUCAGUGGUGAAAGCCCGGAGCUCAACUCCGGAACUGCCAUUGAAACUGUGAGACUCGAGUACGAGAGAGGUGAGUGGAAUUCCCAGUGUAGAGGUGAAAUUCGUAGAUAUUGGGAAGAACACCGGUGGCGAAGGCGGCUCACUGGCUCGUAACUGACGCUCAUGCACGACAGCGUGGGGAGCAAACAGG